Molecule: long non-coding RNA, 128 nt
Organism: Strigops habroptila (Kakapo)
Lineage: Eukaryota; Metazoa; Chordata; Aves; Psittaciformes; Psittacidae
Exons: 3
Source: RefSeq, a predicted model, not a curated record
ACACCAUGAUUGGGCAGGUGGUUUUUCCAGGACGAGGCUCAUCCCUUGCACUCCGGGUGUGCUGACCCCUGCGAUUUCCCCAAAUGCGGGAAACUGGACUGCAUAAUUGGUGCUGGGGGACACCAGGU